RNAcentral lists this ribosomal RNA (2798 nucleotides) under marine metagenome. Its description in RNAcentral is "bacterial LSU rRNA". It matches the Rfam family "Archaeal large subunit ribosomal RNA". The record is from RNAcentral.
UUUAUACUGUUAGACGGAUAGCUUGGUUUUGGUUUUGAAAAAGGACGUGGCAAGCUGCGAUAAGCUUGGGGGAGUUGCACGCAAACUUUGAUCCCAAGAUGUCCAAUUACUCCGAGAGGAGAGAAUACGCCGGGAAUUGAAACAUCUUAGUACCGGCAGGAAAAGAAAACAAUAAGUGAUGCCCUUAUUAGCAGAGAGCGAAAAGGGUAGAGGGCAAGCUGAAUCUGCUUUUGAAAAGAAGUUAGAGAUGUGGUUGAGAUAAAUGGCUAAGUCGACGAGUCAAACUUUGCUGGAAAGCAAGGCCUUAGAGGGUGAUAGCCCCGUAGAUUAAGUUGAUAUGCUGUUCUCUAAAAGAGUAGGGCUUCCUGGAUUGGGGGUCUGAAUAUGGCAGGAUUAACUGCCAACCCUAAAUAAAACCAAAGUCCGAUAGUGAACUAGUACCGCGAGGGAAAGCUGAAAAGUACUCUUAACAGAGUGUGAAAAGACUUGAAAUCUAACAGUUACAGUUUGUUACUGCUUCUACGGAAGUUGUAACGUACGUUUUGAAAAACGGGCCAGGGAGUUUUUCUAUGUGGCAAGGUUAAUCAACUUUGUUGAGCAACCAAAGCGAAAGCAAGUCCUAAUCGGCGUUAGUCACAUGGUUAAGACCUGAAGCCAGAUGAUCUAUUCAUGGGCAAGGUGAAGUCUCCCGAAAGGGGGAUGGAGGCCUGAACCGUUGUUGUGUGCAUGCACUCGAAUGACCUGUGAAUAGGGGUGAAAAGCCUAUCUAAUCUGGCGAUGGCUGGUUCCCGCUGAAAUAUGCCUACGUAUAGUCUUAUCUAGCUUUGUUGACGGUGUAAAGCACGGAUGGAAAUUGCAGGGGCUAAUGCCUACGGAUUUCUUUCCAACUCAGAAGCUGUCAACUGCUUAAGAUAGGAAACAGGGAUGGUAUGUAAGAUACUAUUCCGAGACCCGAACAAGGGAGACUAGAGUUAAGGUCCCAAAAUUCAUGCUAAGUGUAUCAAAAGGUGUCUUGAACCUGAGACACUGGGGAUGUAAGCUUAGAAGCAGCUAUCAUUUAAAGAAAGCGUAACAGCUCACCUAUUGAGGUUCAGGGCCCUGAAAAUGGACGGGGCUAAGCAUGAUACCGAUACUUUAGAGGCACUCAGAUGAGUGUUCUGGUAAGCGGGCGUCUUCAUUGUACUGAAGGCUUUACGAGAGUAAGGUUGGAACGAUGAGGAAUGAGAAUCCUGGUAAUAGUAGGAUAUGAUUUUUCUGAGAAUGAAAAAUGCCGCAAGAGCAAGGUUUCCUUGGCAAUAUAUUUUAGCCAAGGGUUAGUCAGUACCUAAGUUGUACCUUAACUGAGUACGACGAUGGACAUCAGGUUAAUAUUCCUGAACUAAUUUAAUCUUAUAUAAUGCAAUUUCGCUUCUGGAUAGGUAACCACUUGAAAGAGUGAUUCUAUAAAGAAAUUUGUCGAGGGUAAUCCUUAGAAUCAGAUGAAUUUAUAGGACAAAAUUAUUGAAUCCAGGAGCCAGUGAAAAUGUUGUAUUCUUGAUUAAAUUAACUGUACCCACAACCGGCACUGGUGCUCUGGCUUAGUAGGCUAAGGCAUGUAAGGACAAACCAAUCAAGGGAAUUCAGCAAAUUAGCCCUGUAACUUCGGUUUAAGGGGUGUCUAUCUUUGUGUUCUCAGUAAUGUUGAUGCAUUGGUAGAUCUCAGUAACAAGGACGGCACGACUGUUUAACAAAAACGUAGCUAAGUGCUAUUCCGAAAGGACGUGUAUACUUAGUGAGGCCUGCCCAGUCGCGGUGUGUCAAACUCCUUUUCAAGGGAGCUAAGCCCCGUGAAACGGCGGGGGUAACUAUGACCCUCUUAAGGUAGCGUAAUGCCUUGUCAUCUGAAUGGUGACGUGCAUGAAUGGUUUAACGAUGUUGUCACUGUCCCUGGUUGGAGCCUUCUGAAAAUAUUAGUCCGGUGCACAGACCGGAGACGCCUAGUGGGAAGCGGAGACCUUGUGGACCUUUACUGCAACUUGUUGUUGUAAUUUUAGAAGAAACGCAUAGCAUAGGUAGGAGCGUCGAAGCUGUCAUUUCGGUGGCAGUGGAGCGAACUUGUAAUACUACCCAUUUUUUCUAGAAUUGCUUACCCUUAUGGGGACAGCAGCAGGCGGGCAGUUUGACUGGGGCGGUGCCCUGUCGAAAAAAUAUCGAUAGGACCCAAAGAUAAGCUCAUCCAGCUUGGAAAUCUGGAGUUGAGUGCGAGGGCAAAAGCUUAUCUGACUGUAUUCUGAACAGUAAUGAAUGCAGGAACGAAAGUUGGGCCUAGAGAACCCACGUGCUUUUUUAAUAGGAGCCGUGUCUGAUAGAAAAGGUACCCCAAGGAAAAUUGGCUGGUCGCCCCCGAUAGUCCGAAUUGACGGGGCGGGUUGGUGCUUCGCUGUCGGCUCUUCCUAUCCUGCGCGUGCAGAAGCGUGCAAGGGUGUCGGAGUUCACGCAUUAAAAGGGAUCGUUAGCUGGGUUAAGAACGUCGCGAGACAGUUUGUAUGAUAUCUACUAGGUGUGUUAUUGUCUGAGUGGAACAAGUCUAUAGUACGAGAGGAACUAGACUUGGAUGCCUCUGGUGAGCAGUUGUCAAUGGCAGGCUGCAUAGCUACGCAUUGUAUGGAUAAGAGCUGAAUGCAUCUAAGCUCGAAGCCAUUCGCAAAACGAGACAAUUAAGGCCGCUAAAGAAGAUAGCGUCGAUAGAGUUGCUGUGUAAUAUUCAAGCUUCGGCGAGAAUUUCAGCAGACAACUACUAAAAGCCUCAAAAUUAAUAU